RNAcentral lists this long non-coding RNA (12556 nucleotides) under Phaseolus vulgaris (common bean). RNAcentral describes it as "long non-coding RNA (PVUL_LNC001945)". The record is from RNAcentral. Lineage: Eukaryota; Viridiplantae; Streptophyta; Magnoliopsida; Fabales; Fabaceae.
UCUUUCACUGUGGUUUCUGUCAAUGCUGAUGGUUACCCUUACUAUUCUCCUCCUCCUCCUUACGAGUACAAAUCACCACCUCCUCCACCUUAUGAGCACAAGUCUCCUCCUUAUGAGUACAAGUCUCCACCUCCCCCAUCUCCAUCUCCUCCUCCUCCUUACGUCUACAAGUCUCCACCUCCACCACCAUAUGAGCACAAGUCUCCUCCAUAUGUGUACAAAUCACCACCUCCUCCAUCUCCUUCACCACCACCUCCUUACGUCUACAAGUCUCCACCUCCUCCUCCUUAUGUCUACAAGUCUCCACCUCCUCCUCCUUACGUCUACAAGUCUCCACCACCACCUCCUUAUGUCUACAAAUCUCCCCCUCCACCACCAUAUGAGCACAAGGCUCCACCAUAUUAUUACAAGUCACCACCACCUCCUUCCCCAUCUCCUCCACCUCCUUAUUACUAUAAAUCUCCUCCACCACCCUCUCCCUCACCUCCUCCUCCCUACUACUACAAGUCUCCACCACCUCCUUCACCAUCUCCUCCUCCACCCUACUACUACAAGUCCCCACCACCUCCUUCACCAUCUCCUCCUCCACCCUACUACUACAAGUCCCCACCACCACCCUCCCCAACUCCCUACUACUACAAGUCCCCACCACCACCAUCUCCAACUCCCUACUACUACAAGUCUCCACCACCACCAUCUCCAACUCCUUACUAUCCAUCCCCCACUCCUUACUACUACAAGUCUCCACCACCACCAUCCCCAACUCCCUACUACUACAAGUCUCCUCCUCCUCCUUCACCUACUCCUUACUACUACACUUCUCCACCACCACCCAAAUAUCCACCUCCCUACUAUUAUAACUCCCCUCCUCCACCUGUUGUGUAUCCCCCACACCCCUACCACCCCCACCCCUUGAUUGUCAAGGUAGUGGGUAAAGUCUACAGCUACAAGUGCUAUGACUGGGAGUAUCCCGAGAAGUCUCACAACAAGAAACACCUCAAAGGUACACACCUUAUUUUUCUCAUUUACAAUGCCUUCCAAUUAAUGUUCUCUGUGUUACCAUCAAACUGUUACUUUCCUGCUUCUUUGAUGUUCAUUAGCAGCCGCUUUUUGGAGUUAGGAGACUCCUAUGUUUCCAUAAUGGAAAUGUCUUUGUUUUUAAAAUUCAGUCACUUUCACAACCACCUUUUCUUAUCUGUCUGUUUUUCUUAUAAUUAACCUUUUGAGGUUAAUUAACGUGUUAAUAAGGUUUGAGGGAAAAAAACUGAACAGAUUCAGAGCGUCUAGAGUAAUGCACAAGUGAACAUUUUAUAAUGUGGUUAAUAGGCAUUUUAUAAUUUUAAUGAUAUAUUUAUCUGCAUUGAUCUGUGCAAGUAUCUUUAUAUAAAUUAAACAAAGAUACUAAAUAAAUGUCUUAGAUUAUGUGUGAUUAUCUCCAAAAGGAGAUUCAUAAAAAGGAAAAGAAAAACAGAAAUAUAAUUUAGAAGAAUCGGCUAAUGCCUGUAAUACAUUAAGAAAUAAUCAACUAGACACUUUAUAUAUGAACCUUUAAAUGAUUCUUAAUAUAUAAUAUAAUAUGGUAUCUGACAAAACUUUCACUUUAAUGAUAACUUGGUGUGUGGUAUGAUCUAUGAAUUGGAAUUAAGCAUUUUGGGGUGAAUGCAGGUGCUACUGUUGAGGUUAAAUGCAAAGCAGGAAGAAACAUCAUUAAGGCUUAUGGUGAAACUAAGAGCAAUGGAAAAUACAGCAUCACAGUUAAGGACUUUAACUAUGUGAAAUAUGGAUCCGUAGUGUGCAAGGCCAAGCUUUAUGCCCCACCUAAGGACUCUCCAUUCAACAUACCUACAAAGUUGAACGAGGGAACAGAGUUGAAGGUCAAAUCCAAAGACAAAUAUGAAGUUGUGUUGAAGGCUAAGCCAUUUGCUUAUGCUUCAAAGAAGCAUUUCAAAGAAUGUGAAAAGCCUAAGCCUUCACCAACUCCAUACUAUUACAAGUCACCUCCUCCUCCAUCUCCAGUUUACAUAUACAAGUCACCACCUCCUCCAUCACCUACUUAUGUUUACAAGUCACCACCACCACCAGUGAAGUCACCUCCCUAUUACUAUCAAUCUCCACCUCCACCAUCACCAAAACCUCAGCCUCCUUAUUAUUAUCACUCUCCACCUCCUCCAACACCAGUUGUUAAGCCACCAUACUACUACCAAUCUCCACCUCCUCCAUCUCCAAAACCUAAGCCUCCAUACUACUACCAAUCUCCUCCUCCUCCAUCACCAAAACCUAAACCUCCUUACUACUACCAAUCUCCACCUCCUCCAUCACCAAAACCUCAGCCUCCAUACUACUAUCAAUCUCCACCUCCUCCAACACCAGUUGUGAAGCCACCAUACUACUACCAAUCUCCACCUCCUCCAUCACCAAAACCUCAGCCUCCUUACUAUUACCAAUCUCCACCUCCUCCAACACCAGUUGUUAAGCCACCAUACUACUAUAAAUCUCCACCUCCCCCAUCACCCUCUCCUCCACCACCAUACUACUACAAAUCUCCACCACCACCAUCCCCAUCACCGCCACCUCCAUACUACUAUAAAUCUCCACCUCCACCAUCACCGGUUGUUAAGCCACCAUACUACUAUAAAUCCCCACCUCCCCCAUCACCCUCUCCUCCCCCUCCAUACUACUAUAAAUCUCCACCUCCAUACUACUACCACUCUCCACCUCCACCAUCACCAGUUGUUAAGCCACCAUACUACUACAAAUCUCCACCUCCACCAUCACCCUCACCUCCCCCUCCAUACUACUAUAAAUCUCCACCCCCACCUUCACCAUCCCCUCCUCCUCCAUACUAUUAUAAAUCACCACCACCACCAUCCCCAUCACCGCCACCUCCAUACUAUUACAAAUCCCCUCCACCUCCAUCCCCAUCUCCACCGCCUCCUUAUUACUAUCACAGUCCUCCUCCACCAUCUCCCACUCCUCAUCCUCCCUACUACUACAAAUCCCCUCCACCACCAACGUCCUAUCCUCCACCUCCUUACCACUAUGUGAGCCCUCCACCACCUUCUCCAUCUCCACCUCCACCAUACUAUUACAAAUCACCACCUCCUCCCUCCCCAGCCCCCGCUCCAAAGUACAUUUACAAAUCACCUCCACCUCCAGCUUACAUCUAUUCUUCCCCACCUCCACCCAUCUACAAGUAAGCUCGGAUUGUGGAAGCACCAUUCACCACAAAUCAUGUAAGUUCAGGAUUCCAACAUUGAUCAUAAGUAAAAUUAGUUAAUUAUACGUGUAUGAAUUUUAGUAAUGGAAAUUCCCACUGAAUUAUUUUUUCAGGUUCUAGUUUUCAUGGAGGAAUAAAGGCAAGCUCCAUUUGGAGUGAAGUGAAAUAUCUAUCUUCCUGUCCAAGUUCUUUGAAUAAUAAAAGUCUGAAUGUGUCAUCUCUGGGCUACAAUGUUUGUGAUUCAGACCCGGUUGGUUCAAUUUGUUUGAUGGCCAUCUUGCACGUCCUGAUCUUAUUGUGUUCAAGUGACGGACAAAUGAAAAAGAGGAAGAGAGAUUUAAAGUGUAAAUGCCAAGUGAAAGUGAAAAAGUACAGUCCACUCUUAGAGAUCUCUUAAAUUUAUUUGUUUAUAGGCCGUCUAUGAUUGCUUUUCUAUUUAUUGUGGAAUUUUUGUAUUGUACCAGUUGUUGUGUUUGCAAUAAGUAAUAGUAAUAAACCACCAAAUUCAGGUUUCCUAACUUUCCUUUAAAAUGAAUGAAUAAAUAAGAAGUAUAAAAAGUAUGAUACCACAACCCUUAUAUAACAAAACUACCUUAAGCUUAUUCUCUUUACCUUAAUCCUUACCUUAAACCUUAAACUCUGUUUCAAGACAACAAUUUGAAUACGAAAAACAUAUGUCACGCGUUGUAGACAUUAUUCAUUACCAAGUUUUCAACUGGGUCAGAGUAAAAAUUUCACAUCCUACACUUCUGAAAAUCCUCUUGUUAUUAUUCUUAUGUUACCACAAUUUUGGUUUCCUAAUAACCAUUUGCAUUUAUACCAUUCUCGAGAUAUCAAAUAGUACAUCAGAAAGAGUCUCUGCCUGAUGCCUAUCAAACUCAAUAUCUGCCCACUAUGAUGAUUCUUUAGAAGGCACCAGCUAAAGUUUCUGCAUGUUUGAACUUUGCUCAUAAACAGAUAAGAUAAACAAACAAUUGACAUAAAUUAUUUGGACUCAACACCAAAUCACGUUUCCUUCUUGGAAUCUUUGCUCAUUUCUUUUGUAGUACGUACCAAUUAUUAAUUAUUAAUUUAACUAUAAGUCUUCUUCUUCUUCUAGCCAUAUCCAAGCAGGUCCCAUUAUCUAAUUAAAUAGCCCCCAAUAAUCUGAUCAAAUCCACAUAACUGAUUCGUGGACCCUUUCUUCCUUCUAAUUCAUGCAAUUUCCCUAAAGUUACAAAAACUAAUUUCACACUGCUACUAACAACCACAGCAUCAGCAUCUUAAUUAUUUCAUUUACCAUGUCACAAAAUUUGAAGUUGUGAUGAUGACAAGUUCUAAGAUUAUUUAAAUAUGAAUCAGUAGUUUGAAUUUAUAUAAGCUAUCACUAACGCAUGAUUUAGUUAUGAUUUGAAUUAGUCAUUGACAGAUACUGAUAAUUUUUAACAGUAUUAAUUAUCAUCCUGAGUUGUAUUAAGCUCAAAUGUGUACCUAACAAAGGCAACUAAAAAUUAAAGAAAGGAAUUCACAAGCACUAAUUAUUGCUGUGUUUACAAGAAAACAAAAAAAGUGGUCUUCCAACUAAUAUAAGAGAAAGUGGCAACUUGCUAUAUAAAGGGAAACAUAAAGAUAGAAAAGGGUUGAAAUGCUAAUUUGUUAUGGGUGCUGUCAUGCAUCAAUUCUGAUUAAUCUAAAUUUUUGAAGUUAUAUAAAACUACAAAGAGAACGAUGGCGCACCGAACAAUCAUUAUAAAGAAGAGGUCUACCCACUAUUUGAGGAACUGCUCAUCAUCACUUAAUGUAAAGAAUAACUUUUUAAUAUUUUAUAACUUUUCAAACUACUAAUUAAAUAAAUGAGCAUAAAAUAAUUUGUAUGCUUGAACCAAUAAUGUUUUCUGAAAAAAAAAACACUAUUGUGAUGCUGAUGUUUAAUAAACAACUGUAUUAAGAAAUGGGUUUUUCAAUUAUCAUUUUAAGAAUUAUUUGGUUGUUUUCAAGAGGGGUUUCUAGGAAGGAAAGGAUGGGGUUGGGAAAGGAUUAAUUAAGUAACCUUUUGCUUUGGGGGUGUUUUUUUUUAUCAUCAACAAUAAUGAAUAAAUAAAUAUUGAUCACUUUAGGGGUGAUCCAACUCUUAUACAACAUACUAAAACAGUCGGCCAACAUAAUACUAUCUAAACUACUCAAAAGUCAUCUAAACUACUCUAAAACAAGAAGCUCCAGAACGAGAAACAAACCAUAAGUUCAAGACACCAAUCUGAAUAAGAAAAACAAGCAGAUGAAAUUUUAAAGGAAAUCCAAGAUCAAACUUUCAAUUGAGUUAGAGAAAACGUCUCUGAAUGAUGCGUCACUCCACCUUUAAAGAUGACAUUGUUCCUAAGACAGAAAAUCUCACUAACCAUCACAAUUCAAACAUUUUUCAAAAUCAAAUUAACAGAAUUAGGUGCAUUACACAGGUUGCUGGCAAGAAACUUGUAUUUCCAAACAAAGGGAGUGACAAAAUUUGUACUCUGUUGGUAGAAGAAUGAAGUACUAUAUUCUUGCAGCUGUACAUUUAUCUAAUAGAUGCAUGCACUGUUUUCCCAAGGUUGUUUCCAUUUUCUGUCUGUAUCACAUAUAUUAAGCAAAAUGUUCAUUCUGCUGGAUGCAGUAUUAUGCUGCAGAGAUUCUGCUUUUGGCUUAUUUUGUCUUAUGAGCUUUGAUUCUCUAAACCUUUUUGUAAAGAGUUGGAGAGCAUACCUUAAAUGCUUCAAUUCUAUUUAUUUCAUUCUUUCCCAAUAAAAGAAAAGGAAUUGUUCAUGUGAGAAAUAUUGGAAUCCUAUUAAGGUAUUUUUAUAACCAAUGUGAAGAAAUUUGGUCUGUAGUUAAUUUCAGUUAAGGUUUAUUGUCAUGGCUGAUUUUGAUUUUUACUCUUUGUAAACAACUGAAAUAAUUUACAACUAGCAUUAUGGAUAAUAAUCUUACAUUAGCAUAGGAUCCUAUUGUCAUUUUCACUUCUUCACACUACUAUUGCAGCAAAAUGGCAUAAUGUUGCAGUAGUUUGCACCAUCUUAGUCUCUUAAAGAUCCUUUUUUCUGUGCUCAUGUGAUGUAUGACAGAAGAUAUGCUGCCACUGAAAAAGAGGUUCUGCUUCUUCAUAUUUCACAAUCUUGUUGCACCUCAUGAGGUGUGUGAUUCAAAAAGUUAUUACAUAUAAAUACUAAUUAAUGGGAUGAAUUAUAUAAUAAUUAGAUAAUAAUAUUAGAAUAAGGACUAGUGUUUAAUCUCUAAUUUUUUUCUUAUUCUAAACAUACAUGUAACCAUGUUUAGAAAGUUAUUUGGUUUACGCAAUAACUAUAAGUGUGAAAAAUUUAAACUACUUUUUCAUCAUAUUUGGUUAAAGACAAAGUUUUAUUGUUUAAUCUGAUACCAUAUGAUGUUGUAUAUUUUUAUCAUUUACCUUCAUCAUCUUCACCCAAUAGUAAUGAUAAUAAUAUAGUAACCACAUGAAAUAUUUUAAUAUUUUAAUAUUUGAUAUUUUAUUGUUUAACUAUUAUAUUAUUUCACCUAGUUUUGUUUUGUUUUUAAAAGCAAAAAAUUACAAAAACAUAUAGUGUAAUUUUCGUAAUGAUAAUAAUUUAAAAAAUAAAUAAAUACUUCAACAUUACAAUAAAAUCAUUAGAAACUAAUUUUAAACCUAAAAUAAUUACUUACUAUUUGACGAUCACUUUAUAAAUUAAAAUAUUAUUGGUAUCUAAAGUAAUUUUUAUUAUUAAUAAAAAUACAUCAUUACCAAAAUUUUAGUUCCUUAUUAUUUAUUAAUCUUUUAAAGAUCAAAUUAAAAUUUAAAAUAUUAAUAGUUAAAAUCUUGAUCCUUAAUUUAGAUACUAAUUUAUAAUUUAUAUUAUUUUUUAUUAAUAAUAAAAUUAGUUUAAAUACGAAUAAUUUUUUAGUUUCAUUAUCUAAUUUAGUCUAUUAAUUAUUAUUUUUAUCUUAAAAUUUGGUUUGAUGGUUUGUUACAGUAGAAGUUCAUUUUUAUUGAAGUUUGAUUUGGUUCUACGUGUUAUGUUUUAGAAAUUUAAUUUCUUAGCGUCACUUUGGUCAUACGUGGUUCAUUCAGAUUGAGAGGCUAUGAGCCCAAUGGGCAAGCACCCAUUUCCUCUAAGAAUUAUUUUUCCUGCACCCCUACGUUUUUCUUUCUGCACCCCAUAAUUUUAAAAAUUCCAAAAUUGAUUUUGACCUUGACCCUUUAUUUAGAAAAGGACACCGUGAAAUGUGCUACGGACUCAUUAAUAAUAGUAUAAAUUAUUAUGUUAUACUCUAAUCGAUAUGAAUUAUAAAAACGUUAAAUCUCAGAAAAACUAUUUAAAAAAUAUUAAAAUUAAAAUACCAACUCACUCAAUGUAUACUUUUUUAUUAUGAAUAGAAAUAGUUCAAUCCUUGUUGGAUUAUAAACAUUUUCCUGAUUUUGAAAAAUAAAUAAGUAGCAAAUGAAUGAAGUGGAAGGGAUUAAUGGAACUGUAGGAUGACAAAGACUAAAUUAAUAAUUUACAAAAUUAAAAACCAAUUCAAUAAAUUGUUAUUAAUAUAAUGAAUUGAUGUUUUUGAUUUUUUCAUAUAACAAUUGGUGAAGUUCUGAGGUAGACAAGUUGUCGCCCAACAAACUUUGACACUUCUUCUCAGAACAAGUGGUAGACCAUACAUGCAUCCUUAUUCUAAACAAAAAAAAAACAUCAAAUGUUUCAAAAAAAAACUCAAUAUUAUCCAUACCGAUGUGAUAAUGUCGUAUUCAAAAAAAAAAAAUUAUACCAAUUUGUUUUACACUAAAAAAAAUCCAAACUUUCUUCAAAUGGGAGUAAAAUACUAAACUUUCCUUUUCUCUUGACCGAGUCAACUUUCUGAACCCACUUUGCUUGCAAUGAAAAAAUGUAAUUUUUUUGACUUAAUCGUUAUGGGAAAGAAGAUUGACUGAUACAAAGUUGGAACAGAUAUGAAAAGAACCUGAACUGUUUACAGUGGUGUCACGUUAUUACCAUGAAAGUAGAUUAAAACAAACCUCAAAAGGUUAUUAUUCUUCAAUUCCCUUCACGUAAGUUGCAGUGUGGAUACUGUGAAUUUUCUUUGCUUUCAACUGGGACCUGUAGAAAGAGAAAAUGACUGCAAACAAGAAAGACACCCUUUGGAUUUCUCUUUCUCUCUCUCUCUCUCUUUCCCUCGUAAUUUUAUUUUUGAGACAACUCACAGAAGUCUUGCAAGUUGUAACCUUCAGUUUCUGGUUUCAGCCGACUAGUUUGAUCAGGUUCCGUCUACCCAGAUCUACUUUUGCCACAAUUUAUUCACUUUUUUCAUUUCUUGGAUCUAUUGCAUCUCUUGGGUAUCCUUAUUCUAUCUCAAUUUGAAGUCUUUCAUGCCAAGCUUCUUCUGGGAUCCCUUUUGAUCUUCUUUGUUGCUUAGUUUCUCGUAUAAUUUGCUCCUUGCUUCUUCUUCUGGCUUACUAUUUAUAAAGAUUUUAUCUUUUAUCGUUUCUUAUAAUUAUUUGUUAUCUUGGUAUUUACGUUUAGUUAUGAUGGUGCCCCUCUUUAAGUUUUCAAUGUUCUUUCCAAUUCAACUUUGCUUGAAAGAUUAUAUUAUACAGUGUCCUAUUUUUUUUUCCUCUGUGAUUUUAUUCAUGGUCCUUUGUUUUAUGUCUUUCCAUGCUUUCUAGUACAAUUUCGGAUUGUCUGAACUUUGAUUGCUGUUAGAAACGAUGGGGAUGAAGUGAAAUUCAUGAGGUUUGACCCUGCAUAGCAUUGUCAUUUGCAUGUUUGAGAAUUUGGAUUGAUCUCUGAAAGUUCAUGUAAGACUUAUUUUCAGAUAGUGAUGUUGGUUCUUUCUCCGUAGUAGAAUUUGGCAUGCAACUAUAGUUGAGUUCUGAUGUUGCUUCCAUGUCCAAACUCCCAAGUAGUAAAGGCUUACAAUUUUACUUCUUAUAUAUUUCAUGCCCAUUUGCCCUAUUUGUUUAAUCAUAUAUUGUGCAGACAUUGUACUUCUUGUUUCUUCUUUGAUGAAUUAGUCAACUCUAAAUGAUUGGUUUGGUUACUUUAAACUUCUAUCUUAGUACAAGUAAAGAAUACUGAUUGGAAAAUAUAUAUUUUUCUUGAAUUGUGCAUGACAAAUGUUUGAAAUGGGCUUUAUUUCUACUUGGCAGUUAAGCGUGGUUUUGGCAGGCUAAUUCUGAAAACCGGCUAGAAUGAAGAAGGCCAUUGGUCAAACUGUUAGGGAACUGUGAGUCUAACUGUUUAGGGUGGUGUUUGUUACUAUUUUUUAACUCAGCCCUAUUUCAUAAUUCCUCACUAUCUUCAUUGUCCUUGCAGUAAAAGAGAAGUAAAUAAGAAAGUGCUUAAAGUUCCUGGGAUAGAACAGAAGGUAAAUUUUGUUCGCUUAACAUUUACUGUAAAACUGAAUUGCAUAUAAUAUAACUCAUUGCAAAGACAAUGGUGUGAGGAUUUAUGUGAAGUCUGCAAUCUGAAUUUACUUUUCUAAUAUUUGCUCACAAAAGAAAUUGUUUGUUGACUAUCUUGGAGCUUACACAUUAUAAUCUUACUGUGCAAAUUUUAAUUAGACUCGUCUCUCGUCUCUUCCAGAUUCUUGAUGCUACCAGCAAUGAAGCCUGGGGUCCUCAUGGAUCACUUCUAGCAGAUAUUGCUCAGGCUACCAGAAAUUAGUAAGCUUGAACUCAUCAUUUAUGCUUGAUAUUGUAUACAAAUAUCUCACUUUUGAGCUCCCUUGCAGUCAUGAAUACCAAAUUAUCAUGGAAAUAAUCUGGAAGCGGAUUAAUGACACAGGCAAGAAUUGGCGGCAUGUCUAUAAGGUUUGUGGAACUUUUUUAUGUUUUAGAUGGAAUUACUCUUGGAAUCUCUUUUUUCUUUUGUUUAUUGUCAUAACAACACUCUUCUGUUUUGACCUUCAAUAUGCAUCCGUGAACUGAAGUACACUAUUUAUGAAAUUUUCUCAAUACUUAUUUACAAACAACUAAUGGUUCUUGCCUUUCAAGAACUCUGUCUAGUAUGUUUAUGCAUUUAUUUCUGAUCAUGCCCUCUUGGAAAAGAAUGGCUCUUACAUUUUUGUAUUAAAUGUUCAACAACAGGCUUUGACAGUAUUAGAAUAUGUGGUGGCUAAUGGGUCAGAGCGAGUCAUAGAGGAGAUUAGGGAGCAUGCCCACCAAAUAUCGGUAAUUUCCUGUCAAUUGAAACAUUUAUAAACUGUUUAGUAUUUUUCAUUCAAACUAUUAAUAUUAUUGAAAUGAUCUAAAAAUUAGAAUGCAGCUUGAUAAUGUUGUAAAUGUUCAUAUCAACAGACAUUGUCCAAUUUUCAAUAUAUUGAUUCCAGUGGAAGAGACCAGGGAAACAAUGUCAGGAAGAAAUCACAGAAUCUCAUUCUCCUUGUGAAUGAUAAAGAAAGAAUCAUAGAGGUUAGACAGAAGGCUGCUGCUAACAGGGACAAGUAAUUCUCCUCUUAUUAGUCUGUUUUUUUAUAUAUAUUUUGAACUUUGUUAUUUUCCAGUUGCUAUAAAAACUUAUGUCUUCUGCCUUGCUGGGGAAGAAAAUAUAUUUCUUUUCCCUGUAUUUUGUAAUAUCCAUCCAUUGUGUAUUUGAAUUUCUUUUGGGUUUCUAGAUCACAAAUGUAAAAUCACAGAGUAUAUUAUGUAAAUAUGUAUGUGGGUUAAUCCGGAGGAGAUAUGUAAUGUAAUUGCCCAGCAUGAUUCACCAGGUUUCGCGCCAGUUCAACAGGUGGAAUGUACAGGCCUGGUUCUCAUUCUAGCAGUGGGGCUUAUGGUGAUAGAUAUGAAGAUGAUCGUUAUAGAAGCAGGGAGGAAGAUAGAAGUGAUCAUGGCUAUGGCAGAGAAAGAGAGUGGGGCUAUAGAGAUGAUGAUCGGUAUAGUCGUGAAGGAGAUCGUUAUGGCAGAGAUAAUGAGGAAAGCUACAGAAAAGAUGGCUAUAGGGAUGAUGAGUACCAUAGAAGAAGUGUUGAUGAUGGCCAAUAUGGCUCAAGAAGCAGGAGCUCUGACAGAGAUCAUGAUCAUAAUGUUGAUGAUGAUGGUCAGCGUUCAUCUGGGUACGUGCCUGAGAUAGCCAAAAAAAAACAUCUAACAAAAUCUGAAAUAGAUAAUGUUUUUAUUUUUCAUAAUUAUAGUUCUUGGGGUUCAUUUGGUUUUGGAUCUUAGACUCUUAUUAGUUGUUAUGAUCUGUAUAUAUAUAUAUGCAUAUUAGAUGUAAAAAACUUAGACUACUUCAAAAGACAAGUACACAGCAUAAUCCGUAUUAGCUUUGAUGUUAGGAUUCAUGGUUGCACAACAUUCCUCUCUCAUUCUGCUUACUCCAUCCUUUUUUACAAUGUUGUCUCAGAGGUAGCAUUGCUAAAGCUGAAGCUCAUUCAAUGGAAGGAAGGUAAAUCAUCCCUCUCUCUCAUAUCACACACAUAUCCAUGCAUAAUGGCCAUUUAGCAUUAUUUUGGAUGACCAUAUGCAAUUCCAUGGGCAGGUUAGAGCAGAAACUUUCUGAGCAAAAUGUGGGUGCUCCUCCCAGUUAUGAAGAAGCUCUUUCUCAAAGCCCUUUACACAAUGAAAGGUAUGAAUUUAAUAAUACCGAGAUUAUCUAUUCCAAUUCCGAACAUAUUUGUUACUAUAUCACUUUGAUUGAAGGGAUGGGGGAAUUUCAGCUGCAAAAGCCUCUUCUCCUGUAAGUGACAAUCCUACACAAACAGCUGCUGCUGCCAGUACUGCAACAUCUGGAAACCCAGAAUCUAAGGCUUUUGAUGAAUUUGAUCCUCGUGGUCAUCCUGCAUCAGGUGUGGCAAGUUCUUUGUUUUGAAAAUUGAGUACACAUGUUGAAGUUUAUUAUUUUUAAUUGUCCUUUUUCUACUUCAUGUCAGGUUCGACACUCACAUAUAUGUAUGUGUCCAAUGAAAUAUAUUUAUAAUUAUCAACAUAUGAUAGCAAAUUUUUAUUGUAUGUUUCUUAUUAGCUGCCCGAGCUCCUGCUAGUAAUGUUGAACUGGACUUGUUCGGCUCCCUAUCUGAACCAUUCUCUUCAAAUGCAUUGGCUCCUGUGUCUUCUGCACCAGAAACAACAACCUCUCAAGGCAACACAAACCUUGAUUCAACUGUGGCCUUUGCACCACCACCAUCUGCUACUAAUAAUUUCAAUACGGUAGGAAUUUGCUUUUUUGUUUAUACCUUGACUCUAAGAAAGUAUUUGAAUACGCUGUAUUAUUUAAUAAGAAUGAAUUUUUGUGUAUGGCUUGGAAUGAUUUUCUUGCAUGCUUAGGUGGGUAGCUUCAACUUAAGAAAUGUAGCGUAUUAAAUACUGUAACUUCUGUAAAACAUUAAUUUAAUUUGUAUCCUUUG